Molecule: ribosomal RNA, 116 nt
Filed under: Geobacillus stearothermophilus
Lineage: Bacteria; Bacillati; Bacillota; Bacilli; Caryophanales; Anoxybacillaceae
Also listed under: 2 other names
Source: RNAcentral
UAGUGGUGAUAGCGGAGGGGAAACACCCGUUCCCAUCCCGAACACGGAAGUUAAGCCCUCCAGCGCCGAUGGUAGUUGGGGCCAGCGCCCCUGCAAGAGUAGGUCGCUGCUAGGCU